Molecule: non-coding RNA, 2586 nt
Organism: Panthera uncia (snow leopard)
Lineage: Eukaryota; Metazoa; Chordata; Mammalia; Carnivora; Felidae
Source: the annotation of a RefSeq genome assembly
AUGCAGAGCUCAGACCCUAACCUGCCCUCUACCACCCACCCAGUCAGUCUCCUUCCAGCAGGUGCAUCUGGGAGGUCACCCUGGGCUUCUCUCCACCAGCGGGGAAGCAGAACCAUGCUGGGUCCCCUCGCCUUCCUGUGUGCCCUCCUGUAUCCCGGUGGUGUGGCAGCAAUCAGUGUGGAGCAGCCAGCCGUGGUGGUGGCGCGUGCAGGCAGCUGGGCCACGCUGCCCUGCAAAACCAGCGCCUGGGUCAGCUACAUCCACUGGUACCGCCACCAGGAGGGUACAGCCCCCAAGAGGAUCCUCAUGCUGGAUAUGUCCAGCUCAUAUGUGACCAGAGAUGGUGUCUUGACAGCGGACAAGGUCCACGCCAAGAAAGACAAGGAUAGCACAAGCUCUAACCUGUUGCUGGUGAAGCUGGCGAAGAGCGAUGAAGGCGUGUAUUACUGUGCCGUUUGGGAAGUGCAGAGCACAGCCUUACGGGAAGCUCAGGUCCUUGAGCAAAAAGUCUCCAACUCCCAGGGUGCUCCAGUCCUGGACUUUCCAUGGGUGCUGGAUCCCUGGGGUUUCCUGGGUCAACUGAGAGUACCCUGGACACUGGAGGACACCCCUCUCCGCGGGUCCACUGCACAUGACCCAGGAGGCUAAGGAGCCCUGGCUCACAGGCUGGUGCAGACCCAGGGGGUUGUCCCAUCUGGAGGCACUUUUCUAAAGAUCAUCCAGGGCGGAACUUCUGGAGCAUCUGGAGCAGGAUCUGAGCUGCUCAAGGCAGCAGCCACGAGCACCAGGCACCAGCCCCGUGUGGCUACUGAGCACUUGAAAUGUAGCCAGUGCACUAGUCCACGCCACGAUGGGCUGCUUGUGUAGCAUACAAAUCAUGUUUUGGAGACUAUAAAAAAAGAUGAAAUAAAUCCUUAAAAAUUUCUAUAUUGACUGCACACUGAAAUACUAUUUUGGAUAUCAUUCACUAAAUAAAAUUUGUGCUAGAAUUAUUUCUUUAACUUUGUUAUUUAUUUAACCUUGUUGUUAAAGCAGCAUUUAGGGAAUUUUUAAUUUGUGUCUCAAAUUGUGUCUAACACUUACUUCUAUUGAACAGAGCUGUGCCGGACUGACGAUUCAAGAUUCUCACCAUCUCCAAUGAAGAAUGUGGGAAUAAAAUAUCGUGCAAGUAAUUUCAAGGCCGAGAGACUCUCUGGGGAUUCCGCACAAAAUGGGUGCAAGCCGAGACUGGAAGGCAGCUCCUGACUCCAGUUUCUAAGUUGUCACCCCGCCCACCGCUGGUUCCUGUGCAGAGAGAGAGAGACUACCUGAUCAGAAGCCCAGGAAACAGUGUGGCUGACUUCGCAGCACCCUCACCCAUGCCUGGCGCUCACUCUCCUGCGGGGGAAAUGAUCCUCAGGGCAGGUGCAUGCAUCAGCCCUGGACGAGACCCCGGGCCCUACGCCUUCCCCUUCUCUUUGAAAGUGACUCCAUAUGGGAUUUGGGGACCAGCUUCCCUGGACCUCUGUUCUCUCCUCUGUAAAGUGAGGAGGUUUAACUGCUACAAUGUGUGACUGAUUUUUGUAUUAAAGCAAAAUUAUACCAAAAAUAUAUCACUAUGUUCACUAACUUCUUAUAAAGUUAGUCAACUUCUUGACCAAAAGAAAAAAAAAAGAAAAAAGAAAGAAAAGAAAUUAAAGAAAAGAAAAGCUAUAUUACUAAUUCCCUAGCCAUAAACAGGAGAGGCCCUGCUGUGUGGAGGGAAGAUAUAACUCUCUGAGGAGGUCUAAGCUGAAUUAAAUGCAUUUUCAACUGAAAAUUCCAGUUUUACGUACAACUUAAUAGCACUGGCAAAAAUAAUUAAUGAAAGGGAAGUCUAAAUGAUCGGAAGUAAAUUGGUUUCUCGGAUUUGCUAAAUCUUCCUCCGUCUUGAUGAGCUUCUGUUUGUGUGGAUGAUUUAUAUUUAAGACAUGCCUGCCUGUGAAGGAGCCCAAACAACAUCUGGACCCUCUACUGAAGUCCCGGCUCAAAGUUAAGGCCUCCAGCAAGUGCAGGAAGUGUGUGAGGGGGGGAGGGUUUGAGGGGGCAGAAAGUCACCUUCCCUCCCUCUUGGGGGUGGUCCCCUCAUUUGUCCUCCCCAUUUCCUAAUACAACCGAACCCUCUCGUCUUGCUGCACCUUCUCAGUGCCUGACUCCACAGAGGGGUGACUCUGAGAUCUGGUUAUUAUAGUUUAGUUAGAGAGAAGUGAGAUAAAUAUGAAGACACUCUCAUGAGAAGUGAUCCCAAGUCCAUGUCAAUCUCAGUUUUCCACGUGGAUCCAUUGUGCUUUUGAUGUACAGCCUGAGAGGACAGUGGCCUUGUACAGGGAGGAAAUACCCACUAUGUGGAGGAGGAAAGAAGUCUAUGUUUGGAGUCAUUUCCUCCUCCUGCUCUUCUCCUAUUGGCUAAGGUGAGCUUCACCCAGGACACUUUGACCACACAUAGUAAAGGCCAACCAGCUCUGCCUUCAGUAAAGAUGAUUAAUUAUAAGCUUGUUUCAAGGCUGAUUCAUGAAAACACUAAAAAUAUCUUAUUGGAGUAUAUAGGACUGAGUAUAGUAGGGCCUC